RNAcentral lists this non-coding RNA (723 nucleotides) under Acyrthosiphon pisum (pea aphid). Its description in RNAcentral is "Eukaryotic large subunit ribosomal RNA". It matches the Rfam family "Eukaryotic large subunit ribosomal RNA", at positions 1 to 651 of the family's 3401-position model. The record is from Rfam by way of RNAcentral. Lineage: Eukaryota; Metazoa; Arthropoda; Insecta; Hemiptera; Aphididae.
CGACCUCAGAUCAGGCGGGACUACCCGCCGGAUUUAAGCAUAUUAAUAAGCGGAGGAAAAGAAAACAACCGUGAUUCCCUUAGUAGCGGCGAGCGAACCGGGAAAAGCCCAUCGCCGAAUCUCGCCGCGCACUUUUGUGUCGCGGCACGUAUGAGAGUUGUGGCGUACGGGCCGGGCCUCGUUGCCGGGGCGCACGUGACGGUCCAAGUCUCCCUUGAACGGGGCCAUGGCCCGCAGAUGGUGCCAGGCCAGUAGAGGCCGUCACAGCGUUCCGGGAUCGGACCGCGCCUUCGAGUCGGGUUGCUUGAGAGUGCAGCCCGAAGCGGGUGGUAAACUCCAUCUAAGGCUAAAUACGGCCACGAGACCGAUAGUUUACAAGUACCGUGAGGGAAAGUUGAAAAGAACUUUGAAGAGAGAGUUCAUAAGAACGUGAAACCGCUCGGUUGUAAACGGACAGAGCUCGCGAAUCCCCGCCGGGCGAAUUCACGGUCGGUCUAACCGCCGGCCGGAUCUUUCGCUCGGUUAGCGGACGUCGCGACCCGUUGGGCGCCGGCCGAAUGGCCCGGGUGACGUUCGUCGCGUCGGUCGCGUUUCGGCGUGACCGUUCGCGCCGAGCCCCGGUGCUCAUGGUCGGCUCGCCCGACGGCAAGAACCGUCGACGCGGCCCCGUCGCAGGCGGGGUCCCGUCGGUCGGCGACGUGUUUCGAGCUACUUUCCGACCCG